UACGGAGGGUGCGAACGUUAAUCGGAAUCACUGGGCGUAAAGCGCGCGUAGGCGGUUUGUUAAGUGGGAUGUGAAAUCCCCGGGCUUAACCUGGGAAUUGCAUUUCAAACUGGCCGACUAGAGUACGGUAGAGGGAGGUAGAAUUUCCUGUGUAGCGGUGAAAUGCGUAGAUAUAGGAAGGAAUACCAGUGGCGAAGGCGGCCUCCUGGAUCGAUACUGACGCUGAGGCACGAAGGUCAGGGGAGCAAACGGG
This 253-nucleotide ribosomal RNA is filed under the name uncultured bacterium. RNAcentral's name for it is "partial 16S ribosomal RNA". It matches the Rfam family "Bacterial small subunit ribosomal RNA", at positions 524 to 776 of the family's 1533-position model. The record is from RNAcentral.